UAAUUAAUUAAUUAAUUUCCCGGCCAAAAAGUAAAAGCGUGCUACUUUUCAAUUUUACGGUUUUGCCCCUAGUAGCCUUGCGACUUCGGACAAAUCAUUGUGUCUACUUGUCCCAUCACCAGAGGAAGCGCUUUAAAUUUUCCAAAAAUAUUAUAUUUUACUAAAUUAUUUACAGUUAUACAAAAACUAAUUUAAAUCUAAAAAAUUAAUAAUAUGUAUUGUAAAAAUUUUAUUAGCAAUAGCAUACAAACUCAGCUUCGUAAAGAAAAUAUUUUGAACACUUAAAAAAGCAUAAUGUGGUACAGCAAAGAGUAGAAUUAUCUCCUUUCGUACAACAAUCACUAUAAAAUAUUAGAAAACUUUGGCUACAGUUAUUACAGCUAUUUUAGAAUAUCAAACAAAAGUUAAAAAAAAAAACAUUUGCUUGCUCACAAUAAUUCUAUUUUGAUUGGUUCGUGCCUUCGCUUUAAUCAUGAAAUAUUGCAUUGUACACCCUUAAAUAAAUUAUAAAUUUUAUAUCUUGCUUAUUUAAAAGCUAAUUAUUUUUUAUAAUACCCAAAACUCCAAAAAAUAAUAACAAUAAUAACUCUUCCUACAGGAUGUCUGUAGACGCAGCAUAUUUCACACUACAGCAUUUUUCACUUUAAAAAAUAUGGAAAAACUUCAAAAAAAAACCUCCUGUAGUUUCGUAAUUUCUCACUUUGCCCCCUAUAGUUUAAAAUGUAUCAAUUUGCCUCCCUGUGGUUUCGUUUUUAUCUUUUCGAUUGUUUUUUCGUUAAUAUUUCGUUAAAUUAUAUAUAAAAAACUUCAUAUACCCAUCUAGAUUUAUCAAACAUUCACUUUAGUACCCUUUAAUUUUAAUUUUAUUACUGAUUUAAAAAAAAUAAUAAUAAAAUUGAUAAGAAAAAGAGAAAAACAAAACCACAGGGAGGGCAAAUUGACACAUUUUAAACGACAGAGGGGCAAAGUGAGAAACUACGAAACCACAGGGGGGUUUUUUAAGUUUUCCCAAAAAAUAUUAUUAUAUAUUGUAUAAAAUUGACACUUUUCAUCCUAAAAUUUACAAAGAAUUUUUAAAAAAUUAGUUUAAAAAAUUUUAGAAAAGGGCUUAGACUAGAUAAAAUUUUUGAAUAAAUGAAGUGCAAGAUGUCCACCUAGUCUAGAGAUAUUACAGAUCUCAUUGCUCUUUCACUCUAAUGAGUCAUAUAAAUUUUACAUUCUAUUCGUCUAAAAAUUAAAAUUUUUUUAAUAAUUUUAUCAAUUAUUUUAUAAUACUAAAAAUUUAAAAAAUUUAAAUUUUUUAAAGUUCUGAUAAGAUUCAUAUCCUAACUUGGCGACGGAAAGUAAAAAUCAGGUUGAAGUAGAUUUCUGAGUGAAAUAAACACAAAAAUAUAUAUAAAUUAUUUCCUAAAAAUAAACAAGGAAUACAAGAUAAACCCCCUACACCCGGUGCACGCAAGUUUUUCCAAUGGUAAGUCUCGGAGAGAAAAUCGGAUCGGGUGGCAUACCUCAUUUUUCACGCUAUCCAUCAUCACCAACAUCUCUUGCAUGAAGUCCGUGAAAUCCUGACCGUCCAAAACAACAUUACAUGACCAAAUAAAAAAAAUAAAAAAAAAACACAAUAAAAAUCUCCCCCCCCCCCCCCCCACACCAACUUAUUACAAAACAAAACCAAAAAAUACUAAUAUUCCCGAAAAUGCAACCAAAAAAAAAAGGAAAAAGAAAAAGAAAAAGAAAAAGAAAAAGAAAUUAAUUGUGAGAGAAAUUAACGAAUAUCGCGCCUGACGCUGGUCGUCGCCAUCCAAGGGGUCGAAGAUCCCCGCGUCGUACAUCGCCGCGUUCCCCUUUGUCGGAAGAACUACCACACACACCGCACACCAUGUAUAAUAACCCGUUAGCCGCCGUUACCAAGAAAACGGCAACUCGUAUCGGCGUCGGAAGUGCACUCACCGGAAUACGCCUCCUGAUCCGCUGGAACCCGCCGCUUCGCCUCCGCCGCCCGCGUCGGAUCUUCGCCCACCGAUCCGGUGCCACUUCUACGCUCCCCCCGCACAAAAAACACACAACCCCGGAAAAAUCACCAAAAAUCCCCAAAAAUUAUACCUCAAAAAUCCGAGAACGGGGGAGAGAGUGAGAGAGGGGGGGGGGGGGGGGGGGGGGGGGGAGUACCAGGGCGAGCUUGCGGUACGCGGAGCGGAUGUCGGCGCCGGAGGCGUUCUUGCGGAUCCCGAGGAGGGAGUAGUAGCAGGAUCCGUUGGAUCCGCCCCCGUCGCCGUCCAUCGCCGCGGGAUCGAACGGUGGGGAUCGCCGCAGGAGCCUCGAUCGCGAUCCCGAUGAGGACGCAGAGGAGGAGGAGGGAACUGCCACUGGUUUUGGGCUUAUUUACGAAAAGGGGAUUCCGCUACGCACGUGGUCUGGUUCAGGAGGUGGUGUCGUGUCGGGAAACGGCAGUUGAGGUCGACUCGAUCCGAGACUUUUGACCUAAUUAUUUAAAAAUAAAUUACCACGUGUAUAUAUAUAUAUAUAUAUAUAUAAAAUAUUUUUUUUCUAAAAUUUAAUAAAAUUUAAUUAGAAAAUAAUUAAUAAGACUAAAGAAAAAAAGACUUUUUGAAAAAAUUAUUAAAAAUACUAUUUCGUAAGAGCUUAAUUUUUUUGUGUAGUGCUAGAAUGAAUUAUAUAAUUAUAUUAUUAGUUUUUGUUAGCAGAAGACGUCCUACGUUAUAUUUGGUUCAGAUGCCAGACAAAAAUGUAAACUGACAGGUGGAGAAAUAUCUAAUAUUAUAUAUAUAUAAUACGUAGACCGAAGUUCUAAUUCAAUCCAAAAGCUGAAACGGAUAUGUAGAGAAAAACACUGACUUCUAAGUUGUAUCUAAUACGAAACUAAUAUUCUUUAACAAUAGAAAUGUGGGUUAAGAAUAAUAACUAGGCAUGCUAAUCAAAUUUUAUUUGGAACUAAACGCGUGAAGUUUCAAAAUUUCGAGUCACAUACUGCUGUUUGAGGACUAAAAUAAAACUCAUAGCCAAACAACGCGAGCAGUAGAUUACGAGGCCCGACCCGCUCGCAUCAAAUAAAUUGGUCUCGAGCCUAAUUCUAAAACUCUUGGCCUAAGCCGGUAAAAUUUGAAUAGCUGUCGGGCUCGGUUGGACUGAGCCUUUCUCAGUUGAAGUAAGCCCAACCUCCAUAACAAGUUGGAAUAAAGUGGUUAUAUUUGUCGCGUGUUUAGCCCGGCAUCUGGUUCUACUUACAACAUCAGCUUUUUGUCUUUGUGAAUAACAAAAAUAACUCUGUUACCAGCAAUUCUCCUUUCUGUUCAAAUAAUUUGAAGAAUCACAGUGCUUCUAGGAAACUAGUCCAAACAAUAAUAAAGCAGAGUAUCGUCGAGCUCGCUCGCUAUCAAAACUAUGAUAUGUUUAUUUUAUCGAAACCAUCCACUGAGGACUCUCACCAGUUACUGGAAAUCAGCAUCGCUCGCCUAGCAAUGAGAACGGUUGCACGGGGGGUCGACUGUGGGCACGAUAACUGGUACACCAGAGAUCUGUCCUUCUCAGUCCUCUUGUAUUAGGGAAAGGUCCUCUCAAUGCUCUACCGCCCGCACCGGAUAUGGGCCGAACUGUCUCACGACGUUCUAAACACAGCUCACGUACCACCUUAAUGGGCGAACAAAAUGGACAGUUCAAGCGAUUAUUCCGUGUUUGAUGUGCACAUUUCCGCCUUGAUGUCAAAAAUGGGCCUAACUAAAAAUGGGCUUCAGCUAUGUAUUCUUGUUUUUAUUUUUCUAUUAGUUGAUUAGGAUUAGGCCUAAUUGAGUUCAAUUUGGGCCUUCGUAUGUCACAUAUUGGAUUUGGUGGUGCCUAAAUAACACACUAUUGAUCAAAAUAUAAGUAUAAUUAUGCGCCAGUGCAACCAACCGUCCCUAGAGCAAGUGGCAAAAGGCUUAGUGGUUGAUACUCGAGACUCAAGUUUGAAUCCAAGUUGAUUCACAUUUCUAGCUAAGUUUAUUUCUAAAUGAAAUAAACGAAACGGGUAGCGUGCUAUCUCUCAAAAAAAAUUAUGCUCAAGUGCAACUGCGCUAACUAGAGAUUAAUCUAUUUAGGUAUCCAAAUUAGUAUGUUUAUCUUUGUUGAAUGUAAAAUAUAAAAAAUAUUGUUCUCAAAAAGCUUUCAAUUUUAGAUAAUCAAAGAUUUCAUACUAUUUUAAAGACGAAUUUCAAAUCAUUAUUUUUUAUUAUAAAAAUAUUAUUAAUACGUAACGAACUGGACGACUAACACUAAUAAGUCUAACAUUAAUAACUCGUUAGACUCCAAACCACCAAUCUAAAAUAUUUAAAUACAAUUAUUAUUGUUAAAUUCUUUGCUUCUAAUAUAACCCUUUAUACCGGAUAUAUGAAAUUUUUGGGGCUUUAUAUUCUCUCCAUGCAAGUGUUAUUAUUAUUUUUCUUCACUCAAGAGUGUAAAUUUGAGGCCUCAUUUCAUAUUUCAUAUAUUCGUCAAGCAUCGAAUAAAUCCGUUCUGUUUAGAUUCGAAUUUGGAUAAAAUUUUUAAUAUCUGUACCCAUUGACAUCCUAAUUUCACUGUCCUUGCGGCAACUUCCAAAGUUUAGGAAAUAUACGCUACAAGUGAUUGUUUGUUACUACAUAAUUAAACUCUUUAGUUGACAUUAUUACUGAUUGGAUUCAAAUGCAACUCAUAAAAUAGCUAAACCAACAUUAUUUUUUUAGAAAAGUAAACUUACAAUCAAGUUACUUAGAAAUAUUUGUCUAAGGUAUGGCACAAUGUAUGAAUUAAAAUCCUUUGUAGUCUAAGUUGAGCAACCAUUAGUUUUUUUAUUUUUUGAACUAAAAUGCAGAAGCGUGAGUUGUCGCAUUGACUAUGCGAUUGAAUCUCACAGUUUUUUCACAUUUGAGUCCGAUUUUGACGACAUAACCCGCAAAAUGCACGAUGUCAAGUUCCUGUAACUCACAAGAACAAUAGGGUUACGUUUUGAACAAAACAAGCAUGCACAAAUCCUCCAAAGACAAAAAAAAAAAGAAGAGAUUAUUAUUUAUAUUAGAAGAGUUGCACCCAUUAUUCUUGUUAAUAUUUAGCUGGCGUGAACUCGUAUCGCACGUAUUCAAUAAACAAGCACUGCUACUUAUACACUUUCAAAAAAAGUACACACCUUAUGUCCCUUAUUCAAGAGAAAAUAUAAUCUUUAUACUGUUAUUUUUAAACAAAUAUAUAAUUUUGAAAACUUUGGAAUGAAACAGUGUAAUAUGUACACCCUCAUAUGAAGUGCGCGGAUAGUUUUUUUAAAAAAAGAAAAAAAAAUCCUCCGUAUUUUUUUUACCAUGUCCUUUUCUUUUGAUUCUGUCAAUCUGUAUUUUUUUUUUAUUUAGUCAAUUUUUUUUUUCACAAAUAGUCCUAAUAAAUAUAUAUUUAUAUAAGGCUAAAUUAUAGAAAACUCUCCUGUAAUAAUCCAUUUUUUUACUUUCCCUCCAUGAUAUUUAAAAAACUACAUUUUGCCCUCUUGUAAAAUAAAAAAUAUGCACUUCAUCCCCUACCAUUAGGGUUCCGUUAUAAAAUAUUUUUUUAUUCCGAAAAUACUCAUCCGCCCUCUUCCUUGUUGCUUCGCCUCCUUCCAGCUCGCCGCCUCACCGCCUCGCCGUCCUCCACUGCCUCGCCCUCGCCCACAUCCCCUUCGCCCUCCUCCGCCGCCUCGCUUUCGCCCUCGUUGCCUUUGCCUACCUCUCCAUCAACACCCAUCUCGAUUUCCUCCCUACUAUCAUCGAAAUCGAGAGGUGGUGAGGGUGCAGGAGGAGAAGCGGAGCAGGUGGAGAAGGAAAUGGAGAGAUAUCGCGGCCGAUUGAGGUGGGAAUCGCGGCCGAUCGAAGGGGCGGCUGAGGAAGAUAAGGAAGAAGACGAAAAUGGUGAUGGGCAAAAUGGUCAUUUUACACACCGUAACCUCUCUGUGAACAUUUUUCAUUUUAUAAGGGGACAAAAUGUAGGUUUUUAAAUGUCAUUGAGAGAAAGUAAAAAAACGGGUUAUUACAGGGAGGUUUUCUGUAAUUUAGUUUUUAUAUAAAUAGCUCUUUUCUUGUCACGCAAGAGUUGAAGUGGUAUUUUUAAGUCGAACACGGCGAUUCAAUCACCCUGUUUAAAUAAGAUAUUUUCUUUUAUAUUUUUUUUUGUCCCUAAGUAAAAAAAAAAAAGAGGAUUUGGAGUGUGUAUAUGAAUACGAUGAUUCAAUCACCGCACUCAACUUAAAAAUACAAACGUGACGCUCACGUGGCAAGUAGAGGUCAAAUGUUCAAAUAUAAAUUUGUUAAGGUAAUUUGUAAAAUUUUUAUUUUGGGAGGGGCCUAAAUCCCAAUCAAUUUUGCUCAUCGACACGUGUCCCACACAAUACACGAGAUGUACCAAAUUGGUCCGAUCUGGACAUGCAGCGGAUCCCGGGGGUUCCGGCGGAGAGACUUUUCCCGCCAAAAGCCACCCCUCCUCCCGAAGCGGGCGACAGGCUGGCGACGGCACACGGCAUCUGCUGGCGACUUCACGACUCUCGAGACAAAUCAGAGUGAGGCUGCGAGCACAGAAGGAAAGCUGGCUUGGGUACUUCAAAGUUCAAAAUGGUGUCCUUAUUAACCCUAUAUAAAAAGUCUGUCAGGGAUUGCACGCCUGUAACUAAUUUUAAUUUGAAGAAAAAAAAAAAUUUGUGUGUUUAUUUCAGUCUAUUAAGUUGGAAAAAUAAAAUAAAAUAUUAAUAAUUAAAAAAAUUUAACUUUUGAAUUAUUUACUUUUCGCUAAAUAAAUAAUAAAUGCCAAAAAAAUAGUUCAACAGGUGUAAACAUAAGGGUUAAAUGUAUUCAUGUUCUCGUAAAUAUAGUAAAUUAUAAAUAUAUUCUUAUAAAAUUUAACUUUCAUAUAUUAUUUUUCUCUGAUUUGUUAUCGUUAUAAAACUAUUUAUAUUUUAAGUAAAAUGUCAAUUUUGUCAUCACAAAUAUAUUCCUCAAAAAACUACAAUAGUGUAAUAUAAAAAGAACAAAAAUGUUAAAUUAUCUCAUAAAUUAACGAGAGUUAAAAAUUUAACUUAUGGUUAAUUAAAAUUUUUUAAUAAAUUCUAAUGGUGGGGAUAUAUUUGAAGAUAUUGGGAUUUUUAUAGGACCAACAUAUGAAGGUUCAAUUUUGUAGAGAUAUAUUUGUAGUUCACUAUAUUUAUAGGGACUUAUAAGAAAUUAAUUCUAAAAAUAAAUUAUAUUAUUUUACUGCAAAUACAGAGACAAAGAUUUUUUUUUUUCAAUAAGUGCCUAUUUUCUGUUGUUUUGUUUACAACGAACUAUAUUUAAUUGAACUCAAUUUUUUUUAAAAAAAAAAUUGUAAUUGGCUUCACUCUGGCUAAUGACAAUUGCAUGCAAGUGUAGAACUUUUUUUGAUGAAGUAACAAAGAAAAGUAAAUAAACUUUAAUUUUAAAGUCUCACUGCUAUUUAAUUGAACUCAAUUUUUUUUAAAAAAAAAAUUGUAAUUGGCUUCACUCUGGCUAAUGACAAUUGCAUGCAAGUGUAGAACUUUUUUUGAUGAAGUAACAAAGAAAAGUAAAUAAACUUUAAUUUUAAAGUCCUUAUCUUUUUUUAUCAAAUAAAUAGCAGUGAGAAUAUUAUUACUAUUUAAAUUUUAGCUUAACUAUGACUGUUUGUUCAACCAAAUGUGAAGCUCGUGUUGAAAUAGGCAUUUGAGUGAACUUAAUAUAAAAAUAAUUACUAUAAUCUUAAAGGCUUAAGCUAUAAUAAAAUAAUAUUUUAAUAUUUCAUAUUCAAUAUAUCUCCUAAUUAUAGAUUCAAAAUUUUUCAAUAGACUUAAGAACACGUAAAACACACAUUAACCAGCAAGUAAAAAAAGAUUAUUGACAUUACAUAUUGAUUGAUUAAAAUUUCUAUUAGAUGCAAUUCUAAAUAGAGUGUUUGCAUUUAUUAAUAUGAGUCUAAACGUUAUAAUUAAAAUUAGGAGUAAUUGCUUAUAUAUUCUGAAAAGUUCUUGAUUUUUUGAUUUAUCUCAUUUUAGAAGGCUAAUAAAAUUUCAUGACACCAACUUGAUACUCUUUAAAAUAUAUGGUACUAGAGUGAGAAAGUACGAAAUUACUAGGAUGAUAUUUGAAUUUAUUCAAAAAAAAAAAGGCCAUCUUUCACACCAUCAAAGAGACGCAAUGGACCAGUCAAAGUUGUAGCCACAUUAAUAAAAACAAUAUUGUUAUAAUGAUUGUAAUUUUAACUGUAUAUAUCUUAAUUUUAUCAAUUAUUUGUUUAGGGCUUGUUCGUUUCAAUGUAAAAAAGCUACGAAAAACAAAAAAUUUGGGGCCGAAAAUAUUUUUUCCAGUGUUUAAUUUGGUGUAAAAUAGUUUUGGGCCAAACAUUAUUUUACGAUUUCUUAAAAAAAAGGGCUUUUUGUUUUCCGCCUCAAAUCUGCAGAAAACGAAAACUGAGACGGAAAAAUUGCAGCUCACACGUGUUAAGAGCAUCACGGUCCACGAGCUCUCACAUAAGGUCAUGGACCAUGUGAGUGGUCCACAUUGGACCAUUUACCUACACCCUCUCUCUCAUAUAUAUAUAUAUAUAUAUAUAUAUAUAUAUAUAUAUAUAUAGAGUAGGGCUAGAAUACUUUUACAAGUAUCACCCAAGUAAUACUUGUGUGUUUUUAGCCCUUGGAUGGAGAGAUGUGAGGUUGAGAUGAUAGUGGUAGGUGGUGGUAGGUGGAAUAGUGUUUGAUCCAAGAGCUAUUUGUAAUUAAAAAGUAGAUCCAAUGGUUAAAAACGUGAUAGCAACAUGGGGAUGAUACUUGUAAAAGUAUCCUAGAUCAACUCUAUAUAUAUAUAUAUAUAUAUAUAUAUAUAGUUGAGCUAGAAUACUAUCGAUAGUAAACGAGCCGUUUUACUACCGAUUUGUUUUCGAUGAUAGAGCUUCCAAAUUGACGAUCGGCUUCGUUAAAUAUGAUCUAAACUAUUUAAACUAUCUAGAAAUCAAAUUUCACGUACUUUCGAUAUUGUUCUUUUAUUCAUCAAGUGAACAGAAAAAUAAACGGCUAAAAAUGAAUAUUCUUUAAAAAAUAAUGAUAGGAGUCUUGUAAUCAAGAUCAAGAGUAUAAAUCUUGUUUUAAAUAGUUUAAAGAAUUUUCUAACAAAAAUUCAAUUGAUUUAGAUAUCUUUACGCCGUUAAACGAGAAAACGUCUCUUAUCGACCAUUAAAAUUACAAAUUUUAAAACCCAUUGAUCAUUAGGCAAAUGAAAUUUAAUUUCUAAAUACUUCAAGUGGUAUAGGUCAUGUUCAACGGAGCCGAUCGUCAAUUUUGAAGCUCUAUCAUCGAAAACAAAUAGGUAGUAAAACGGCUCGUUUACUACUGAUAGUAUUCUAGCUCAACUCUCUCUAUAUAUAUAUAGAGAGAGAGAGAGAGAGAGAGAGAGAGAGAGAGAGAGAGAGAGAGAGAGAGUGAGAGUUGUGCUGGUAUGCUUAUGGAAACACGGAGGCCUCCGUGCUUUCAAGUCGUUUUCGAUGUUCGGAUUUUUGAAUCGACGAUCGGCUCCGUUAGAGUUGAUCUAGAGUAUUUAAAGUACCUAGAAAAUAAAUUUUGCGAUUUUUCGAUAUCAUUUACCUAGUGAUCGAAGGAGCUCAAAAUUAAUAAUUUUAACGGCCAUGGUGAGCCGGUUGCAAGUUUAACGGUGUAGAAAUAUCCAAAUUAUAUGAAAUUUUGAUAGAAAAAUUUUUAUACCAUAUAAAACAAGAUCAAUAACUUUGAUCUAAAAUUUUGAUGUCAUAUCAUCAUAUUUUGUAAGAUUUUUAUUUUCGGCAGUUGAUUUUGAGUCACUUCAAUCAAUAGGCAAAUGAUAUCGAAAAAUCACAAAAUUUAUUUUCUAGAUACUUCAAAUACUCUAGAUCAAGUCUAACGGAGCGGAUCGUCGAUUCGAAAGUCCGAACAUCAAAAACAAAAUGGAAGCACGGAGCCCUCCGUGCUUUCAUAAGCAUCCUAGCCGCACUCUGUGUGUGUGUGUAUAAGAGGGUGAAAAUUUAUUAUACAUCUUUUAUAUUUUUAUUAAUUUAAAUUAUAUAUUUUUAUAUAGUAUUAUAUGCAAACUAUUUAUCAUAUUAUAUUAAAUAUUUAUCAAUUUGUCAUAUUAUAUGAUUGUGAUAUAUUUAAUUCAUAAAUAUAAAUUAUAAUAAUAUAUAUAUAGCCUAAUAAUUAUUAUAAAUUAUAAAUAAAUAAUAUAUAGAAUACAUAAUAAAAAAAGUUUUACUUUUUCCUUUCAAUCACUAAACCAAACAAUUGUAACUAAAAAUUAAUUUUCUUUUCCUACAAAUCAAACACUAAAAAUCGUAAAAUAAAUUUUUCACAAAAAAUCUUUUUCUAUCGAAAUUUUGUUUUUUCUAAUUUUAUGUAGAACCAAAUAGCCCUUUAGCAUAAUCAGGAGACAAGUAUGAAUCAAAUUUAAAACUUUUUCUUUAAUAUAUUUCAAAAAAUAAUCAAUUUUUUUAAAACAAGUAAAAUUACUCAAAAUAAUAUUUUAAUAUUUUAUAUUUAUUAAUAUAUAUAAUAGUAAUAAUAAUUUUAGAUUGCAUGAAUGGAGGAAUUAAAAACCUUAAUAUGCAUUUUGUAUCUUAAAGCAUUCAGUGUGUCGGCGACGCCGCAGCCGCACAUCUUCCCCCAGUCGGGGCCUCCGAUGCGCUCCACGUGGCGAGCUCUGGGCGUCCGGCCUCAGCGUGCGAGCCUAUGCUGUGGCGCCCAACGUGGCUCCCACUCGCGACACGUCGACGACGCCGGCCUCGCCUCCCAGGGGCAAAUCCGUCAUUUCGCGCUACAGCUCUAACUAAUUUUUGAAAAGAAACGGAUGCGCAUUUGACAUAAUCCGCAAACAAAAAAAUUUAAAAAAUGUUACAAAAAUAUUACAUAAAAUUGUUUCUUUUUUUUAGUUAUUAUUAAUAUUGUUAUUAUUAUUUCUAAAAGAGGAUAAUUCGCUUGUAUAUUCGAUAACUUGAGGGGAGGCUAGGAGGGCCAGCUGGGCAUUUGCUCGUGGCCCUUCAUCUCCCAUUUUUUUUUUUUUUUUUAAAGAAAAAACCAUUUAUGAAGUUUCUUUGUUAUGAUUAAUGUUUUAAACAAGUAAUUACUGUAGAUAAUUAAGAUUAAUGUUGGGUCGAUGCUGUUCAGAAGAGCGUAAAUAUUUGGGAAAUAAAAAGCAUUUGGAUCCGAAGAAGUUAUUAGUAGACGUUUCCGUUGCUACCGCUUCCGCUUCUCUCUUCCUCGCCGCUUCUCUUCAACGAGAGAGAGAGAGAGAGAGAGAGAGAGAGAGAGAGAGUUGUUAAUAGUAAAGAGGAGGAGGAGGAGAGGAGGAGGGUUGGGUGAGGUUACCGCGUGGAUUCGUCGCCUCCUCUCUCUCUCUCUCUCUUUCUCCUAUGGAUUCGCGCUGGGCUGGCGCUUGACUCAGCUUUUCCUUAUGGGCGAUUGCGUCGCGUCAAAGGGAUCCCAUCUCUGAAACCCUAGCCCUCGCUCUUCGGAGAUCCCCCCGAUUCCCCCUCCCUCUGCAUUAGGGCGGUGGUGAGGGGGGGGGGGAAGCGCCCCGACGCGCCCCGGAGUUCCGCAAUGCGGCGGAGUGCGGCGGAGGAUCGGGCGGGGACGGCGGGGGGGUGUGCGACGAGUCGCUGGUGCACAUAGCGAUAACGCUGGACGAGGAGUACCUCCGCGGGUCGGUGGCGGCGGUGCACUCCGUGCUCCGGUACGCGCGGUGCCCCGAGGACGUGUUCUUCCACUUCCUGGUGGCCUCCGACCCGGCGCGGCUCGAGGCCCUGGUCCGCUCCGCGUUCCCGCGGCUCCGCUGCAAGCUCUACUUCUUCGACCCGGAGCGCGUGCGGUCCCUGAUCUCGAGCUCGGUGCGGCAGGCCCUGGAGCAGCCCCUGAACUACGCCCGCAACUACCUCCCCGACCUCCUCGAGCCCUGCGUGCGCCGCGUCGUCUACCUCGACUCCGACCUCGUCCUCGUCGACGACGUCGCCAAGCUCUGGCGCACCGACCUCGCCGGCCGUGCCGUGGGCGCCCCCGAGUACUGCCGCGCCAACUUCACCAAGUACUUCACCCCGCGCUUCUGGUCCGACCCCUCCCUCGCCUCCACCUUCUCCUCCUCCCCCCACCCCCACCGCAGGGGCCCCUCCUGCUACUUCAACACGGGGGUGAUGGUGCUCGACCUCGACCGGUGGCGGCGGCGCGGCUACACCCGCCGCAUCGAGCGGUGGAUGGAGGUGCAGAAGCGGCGGCGCAUCUACGAGCUGGGGUCGCUGCCGCCCUUCCUGCUGGUGUUCGCGGGGCGCGUCGCCCCCAUCGACCACCGCUGGAACCAGCACGGCCUCGGCGGCGACAACGUCCUCGGCAGCUGCCGCGACCUCCAUGCCGGCCCCGUCAGCCUCCUCCACUGGAGCGGCAGCGGCAAGCCCUGGGCCCGCAUCGACGCCCUCCGCCCCUGCCCCCUCGACUCCCUCUGGUCCCCCUUCGAUCUCUACCUCCACUCCGCCCCUUCCCCCUCCCCCCUCCUCCUCCUCCUCCUCACCGCCUAUUCCCGGUAACCCCUCCUUCCUUUCUUUUUCAUUUUGUUUUUUAUUUCUUGAAAAAUUAUUUUGUUGGGUCUUUUUUUCUUUUUCUUUUUAUUUUCAUCUCUCUCUCUCUCGUAAUUUUCCAUAAUAUUCCUGGUGCUUCGAUUUGUUCUGUUUUGUUCUGUUCUGUUCUGUUCUGCUCUGUUUUAGACGCUCUUCUCUGUUUUGGUGGUGGUGGUGCUGCUGUGCCUUGUUUUAGUUCUUAAAAAUUCUUAUGGGGCGAUUUGUAUCUUAUUCUAAUUGUUGUUGCCUCCGCAAAUAAAAAAGAAAAAGGGGAACGGAUAUAAAUAUAUUCACAUUUGUUCACAUAUUCGUAUGUCCAGUUGUGGAUUUUAUAGAUUAAUCAUUAGAUAAUAAUAGAUUUCUGUGACGUUCUCGGAACGGGCACGCGGCGGUUUCCAUCCCGCUCGGAUUUUUUUUGUUUGUUCUUCAUUGUUUCUUGUAUUGCAAUCUUCAUAGCAUCCCAAUCUGUAUAGGCAUAUAGAGAGAGAUAGAUAGCACUAAAGCCCCAGCACGAUUCUUAAAGCAGCCACCACUUCAAAAGGGUGGAGGAGGAGAGGGGCCUCCUCCUUUUUGGUGGGUCUAAUCGAUGUAUUUGAGAGAUAAGGUUAAAUAUUUACAAGAUUAUAACUUUUUUUUUUCCCAUCAAUGUAGUUAAAUCUUAUAUCUUUAUCAAGCAUGGUGUGUCUUGGUGUAGGAUAACUAUGUGGAUGGGAGGGGGUUGGUGAUGGUGGGGAUGUGUGUGUAGGUGUUAGAGGUGCGGUGGCUUCGGUGGCAGCAAAUAACACACACUGGACUUGUGAGCUACUGCCCAAAAUUGUCUCCCUUUUAGCUCUUUCAUGUUGUGCCUCCUUUCUUUGGACCACCUCUCCCCUUCUAUUCUUUUCUUCUGUUUGAGCACAAAUGCGUCGUCUUUUAGCUCCUUAAGUUAUUACAGUAGUCGGUUAUUUCACAUAAUAUCAGAUAGCAUAUGUGGCCAUUUUUUAGCUUUAUUUAGUUUUCUAUCUUUUAGUUUAAGUUCAUAUCCUGGGCCUAUUAAGUAUUAAAAAAGUGUCAAGACCAGAUUGGAAGGAAAAACGGAGUAUAUUUUCAGAGCAAUCCUUUACUUCGUAAAGGUGUCACAUUAAUUUUAUUUAUUAUUAUACUUUAAUCACUUUCAGCAUUACCUUUUACAUCAUAUCUAUCUAUCCCUUUCCGGCAAUUUACCUUUUCUAAUUUUAAAUCAAUUUACGAGUGUUACUUUUCUUAACAUUGUUAGUCUAAAGAGCUCUUAAGAAUCCGAGCAAAUGGCAAUAAGCUACGCGCUCCGCAUGUGUCCAUUUCCGCCUUGAUUUGGCUUUUCUCGGGUAGAUGGUAGCACGAUGAUGACGGCACAUCCGAAUAGGGCUUUAAGUUUAAGUUAGCAGUUUACACGCAGCUUUCUAUUACACCAUCACAAGCAUAUUAUGACAAAGAGGGUGGUGGUUGGGUCCUUUUUAUAUGUAUAGUUUCAUUAGGUCUAGGUGCCUUAAACCGUAGUCUUAAACUCACCAAAUUCCGGAGCUUUACUAGGUCAAAUCUUUUAAUUUUCUUUGGUUUUGAGUACAGAAGCUGGGUAGGAUUUAUGAUAAGCCCGAGUGUUUGUAUUGAAUGCUUCAAGUGUUGUUGGGGGGGUGUUUGGUAAGUUUCUUUAUGAACUGUAGCCCUGUGAUAAUUUCUUGGAUCUCUCUGGAACUUACAAUGUACUCUGUAAGUGUCAUAACCUUUGAUUUUUUUUUUUUUGGUUUCUGUGGGUAGUGAAGUGUCGUAUGGUUAAAGCUUUUUCUUGUGCUGUGGUCCUCAUAGAUGAGGGCCCCAUAAGCUGAUGUGGGCAUUUUCGUGGUCUUUUUCCGGAACUAUCAUUUUCCCCCCAUCCACCUCAUUAUCUAGAAGCUUUAUUAGAAGCUAAUUUGGAGUAGCCCAUAAACUUAGAGCCUCUUUGGGUAGAGCUAUUAGAAAAAGCCCGCAAAUACCAGCUUCUUGCUGAAGCAGAAACAGAAGUUCUGAAUAGGAGGUUCCAGCUUUUGUUCUCCAAGCAUUAAGCUUUUCGUUAGAGACAAGCUUCUAACUUCAUUAUUUUCAUAAGUACUCGAUGGUUGCUUUUAGCAUUAGAAGUGCUUCGCAUCGCAAGCUAGGGCAAAAUGUCAUUUUAAGAACCAUCAGAGGAUAGUGAUGUGGCGGAAAAGCCGUGUGACGAUAUAAUGUUGAAAUGAAGAGAUUGAUUGCGUCGAAGUUUUGUUCUUGCGGUAGCAAUCGAACAGUAAUAUUGAAGCGGCGAGUUUUCAAAAAAUUGGCGGUGGUUUAAGGGCUGUGUCUUUUCCGUCGGAAAAAGACAUUUCCCCGUUAAUGAGUUGUUGUAGCUCACCAUAUAGAUUUAGUUGGUCCUGGUUCUUGUUUGUACUAUAGCAGCAAAUGAGUAUAUAGCCGUUAUAGAUAGCACCGAGCGCAAAACUUUUGUUGAUAAUCCCAAUAUUAUCGAGGGACACCUAUGGUGACCGUUGCAAAGUGUUUUGAAUAAUGUCCUUUUCCUUAGAUAAAUUGUAGUGUUGGUUCUAUACUUUUCGUCAAGUUUUACUUUAGUCCUCAUAAAUAAAUAGACACUCGCAGCCCCCGCAAAACGCGGGGAACGCACCGUACAAACUCUCGAUUCAAGAGUUAUAUAGAUUUGGCAGUGUUUUUUGUUUUUUUUUUUGUAAUACUUGCCUUGCGGCUGUUCGUUGGACUCUUCAUCCAUGUCUUAUUUUUAAUUUAACUAUUUGAUUUUUAACUAAAAGUGAAACACUUUAAAUUUCUGAGAGCUCACUGUGGAACUUAAGAAGCUCAAGAACUAAAACAAAAAUGGGCUAAGAACUGGAGACUAGUGGUGCUAUAUAUUUAGUUAGCUAAUUUAUAUUUUUUUUUAGUCAACACUUUUGGUUGUGAAUGGACAUGGUAGUCACAUCGGUGUGCGAAAGAGCAACUUUGACAUAUCAUGUGUAAUAAAAUUGGCAAAAAUUUAUAGAACUACGAAAAUAUGGAUCAUUUUGAUUUAAUUACUCAAUCUUUCAAAUUUUAAAUUUUACUAUCUAAUUUUGCCGUUUGUUUGAUUUAAAUCAGUCAAAGACAUUUCGAUUUUAAAUUUUAUGCUAAUUAAUUACUUUAUAUAAUCCUAUCAAUUAUAAAUUUAUUGAAGUAAUAAAUUUAAAUUGAAGUAAUAAGGUUAAACAACAGACGUCCCUGUGGGGGAAUCUUCGCCCUAUGGAGAAACACUGAUUUUUUUUUUUUUAUCUAGUUUUUUUUUUUUUUUUUUUUCCGUCUUUGUCCGGCUUUUCAUCUCUUUAGAGGUAUUGUUGCCUCACCCAUGUAGCUAAGUUCAUAUCUUGAAUGAAUGAAACGGGUAGCGUGCUACCUUUUUUUCAAAAAAAGAAAAAAGUUUAAAUUUUGAAGUUGAAGUGCCGUAGAUUGGUUCAAAUUAAAUAUGUUGGAAAAUUAAUAAGUAAAAUUAAAAUUUUGAAAGAUUAGAUAGACGAUUCAAAAAUGAUACGUAGUAGUUUAGAUAGAUUUUAUACAUUUUUAUUAGUGAAGUACAAUGUAGUGUUAGACUACACUGAUGCAUUGAAGUUGAUUUGAUCAAAUCUACCACCUAAACAUUGAUUUGGUGUAGGAAUAAAAUGACUUUGAAUUAUAUUAACUAGUUGAAAUGUAAUAUAUGCUGAAUCUGAUGAAUAGUUUAGUUCAAUUCGAUGUAUUUUUUUGUAGUUAAAGGAUAGUAAAUUUGAGAUUGAGAUUCACCCCGUAAUUACCCUGAAUUAUUAUAGCAAUUGUGGCAGAGCAAAGCACCUAUAGUAGAUCUCUGGAAUGGUAUGAAUGGUACAAGGAGAGGAGAGAAUCCACAAAAAAGGAUGCAGUUGCUCACAACAUCAUUAAUAGUGCCAAAAAUUAACAAACCUCCACUAUAUAUUUAGGAGAAAGAUGAACUCAGGCAAAUUUAAGCUGUACCUUUUAAAACACACAGGCAUGUACCAUGCAUGCCACCUCAUAUAGGAAUCUAACUAAAGGUCACACACACACACACUCUCUCUCUCUCUCUCUCUCUCUCUCUCUCUCUCAUAUGAUGUGAUUAGCAUUUGUGGCAUCAUCCUUGCAGAAUCCUAAGAGGGAAGAUGCUAAAUUUAGAAGGGAAUGUACUAAAUUUUCUGCAUGUUUAGUCUUGCUCUUGUUUCCAGACUCAUCAAUUUUAAAUUUUUUGCUAUGGUUGGAAAUAGAAAUAAGAUUCUAAGGACCAAAAUUGAAAGUUUCCACUUACAGUUUUCCUUGUACUGUAGUGAGAAGUUAUGUGCUUGUUUUUUUUAGUAAUUUAAUGGCAUGAUAGCGUACAACAACACUGUAUCUGGACUCUUUCAAGGCGGUAACACUGUUCAGGGAAAAAGUGCUAGGGUCCUCUUUAUUUUUUUACUGGUUUUCAUAAAAAUUAAUAAAAAAUAUAUAUUUUUUGUUUUGUUUUUUUUUUUUUACUAUACAUACCUUACUUUUUCUUCUGUAAUCCUAUAUAUAAUAUAAAAUAUCAUAGGUGAUGUGUGAGUGUAGCUGUUGUAUUCAUACCGUACAUCUCUUAAUUCAAUAGCUAAAAAUUUGGUAGCACCAAUGACUUGGAGCCAUUAAUAAUAUAUUAGUCUAGUUAUAUAUACGUUAUUUGGUCACUGUUUAUGUGUGUGCGAUUGUUUGUUUGUUUGUUCUUCACUAAAGGGAACUUUAUUUAUUCACUCUUUAAGACUUCGUUGUGUUAAAAUGUAACGGUGAAAUCGCAUCCGUGGAGUGCACGAGAACAGGGUACUUUUUCGGUACACCUAAGGGAAGUUUAAAGUAAACCCGUGGUUAAUCCAAACAACGACUACGAAGAAAUAGAGAAACAUCGGAGGUUUUCAUCCUCUUUUUCCUUUUAAGUGACUCUUUACUUCUUUGUUUUAUUAUUAUUAUUAAUAACAAUAGAGGUAUCUAGGUUACUUAACUUAGUUUGUUGUGUUUCGUAAUGAAAACUCCGUACCUCUUUUGUACAAACGAACUAGCUACUCCAGAUCACUGACAACCAUCCACGUACGCAAGCUAAUAUUCACCGAUUACUGUGGUCGUAUACGUACUAUCAUCAUAGCUGUUUUCCUCAUCAACUACUUUCGUUUCAAAUUAGCAAACGUGGACCACGAGGUACAGUGAGUACGUAGAGAGUCACUACUUGGGAGGUAAUGAGAAAAAAAAAGAAAAAAGAAAAAAAAAAAACUCUCUAUCCAUCGUGAGAUGGACAAAGCAAAUAAAGUAAAUCUUUAUUUGAAUCGACCUUUACACUUAGUUCAUCCUAAGUUUGAACCCAGAGCCUAUGGUUGAUGGUUCCGGAAACGGUGAACGAGAUCUCUGCCAACCAUACUUGGGAGGUAAUGACAAUUUUAUAUAUAGCUCAAACUUAGAGUCAUGAAAUAACAAAGUAACUUCAUGUUCGAGGUAAAGAAACUUCAAGUGUUGGACCCACAUUACCUGGAUUACCACGGAACUCGGGCUCGUUCCCCUUCUUGAGAGAUUAUAUUGUACGAUUUAUUAUAAAAAGACUGUCGAAUAAGAAAAUCUCCUUUUUAUAUUAAUAAAAUGUUAAUAGCGUUGCAACCAAGAUUUUAAUAUAUAUAUAAAUCUAUGAACUAACUUGAAAAUUCUAUCCCACUUACUAGUACUAGAGAGAGAGAGAGAGAGAGAUCGUCACCCGCGUCCAAGUUAUUUGGUCCUGUAUAUACAUGCUGCACCCGGAUUUUAACGUACGUACUCGAGAUUUUAAGCACCUACAUUAACUCUGUCUCGAAGUGUUUCCUCCUUUGUGUAACCAUCAUGAAACGUUUUCUCAGGUUAGUUUUUAACCUCCUCAGGAGGGAGUAAUUUUCUACUCUUCUCCCCUCACUUUUGAGCUUUUUUUCUUUUUUUUUUUUUUUCCUCUUUUUUGACUCGGACAGGUGGAAAAACAAGGGAUACUACCUGUAUCGGUUUACAGGUGAGAGGUGUAGAGAGAAACAGGGACAAUAGGAGAGACGAUAGGUAUUAUGUACUCGGUAAGGUGAGAUUAGGCAUGGAGUAAGUAAUAACGAUACAUGAGCACAAUAGGAGUAACGGGGCUUUCGCUUUUUUAUAAAUUUUUUUUCCGGUUGAACGUAUUUUUUAAAUAAUCAAAACUCGAAUACAUUUUCUUUCUACAGUAAAAUUUAAAAUAUCUAAGCCUAGUGUAAAAGUUUUUUGACUAAUUUUAAUAAAAAAAAAGGGAGGAGAAAAAAAAAAGAGAGUAAGAAAAAAAAAAGAAAGACAGGCUUCUCUCACCGCUUCCGCUUCCGCCUCCGCCUGGCAGAGCGGAGGUAGGGGUGUGGGACUAGGAGCGGGCGCGUAGGAGGGAGGUGGAAGGAAUGAAGACUGGGGCAGCUCCAGGGCGUAGCUGGAAGAAGACUGGAGCGGCUCCGCUCCUUCCACCUCCCUCCUACGCGCCCGCUCCUAGUCCCACACCCCUACCUCCGCUCUGCCAGGCGGAGGCGGAAGCGGAAGCGGUGAGAGAAGCCUGUCUUUCUUUUUUUUUUCUUACUCUCUUUUUUUUUUCUCCUCCCUUUUUUUUUAUUAAAAUUAGUCAAAAAACUUUUACACUAGGCUUAGAUAUUUUAAAUUUUACUGUAGAAAGAAAAUGUAUUCGAGUUUUGAUUAUUUAAAAAAUACGUUUAACCGGUUUUUCUUUUUUUUUUAUUUCUUCUUCCGUUUUUUUUCCUUCUGUACAUUACUCAACUGUAAAAGAGAAAACUUUUCGAACAAGGAAAAAGGAGCUUUCUAUUAUACACUGAGGUAGAGUGCGUGUUAUGAAACUACACACUAUAUAUAUAAACCUAAACUAAAAGAUACAUACUCAACCCAUCUUAUAAUCUAAUGAACAAUCACCCAAAAGAAAAACUCUUAUACACAGCUGUCGGCCUUUGGCCUCUUCUGGACUCUGUUCUGUCUCGCCUAAUCAUCGUAGACAAUUAAUGAAUUCUUGUUUUAGCUUUAAUUAAUAUCGAGAUUAUUUAUAAUUGUAUAAAAUUACGACCAAACCCGCUCUUGCUGAAUAGACUAUUAGUUUUUCACACACACACACACACACACAUCUAUUACGAAGUAUAUCACUUCUCUUUUAUGAACCUUAUUAUACAAACGUGCAUAAAUAUAUUAAGAAAAAAUUGGUUGUUUUACACUUUUAACGAUCUUUAAACUACAGUAGCUGGGUUUCUUAUACCAAGAACAGGUGAGAUAUUCACGUCGUUGAUAACUUCCGGUGUUAAACUAAUUACGCGACAUAUACAUUCAGUUAAUGAUCGAGCCUGUGUUAUUAAUUACAUAGUUGAAAAGAAACAUGUACGACCAAGAAAAUAACAAAUUAAACCACCGAAGAAGUUGGUUUGUAUAUACGUAAUCUUUAAAUUCAUUUACGCUGAUGCGUAGGUUUUACCGUUUGGCAGGAAAAUAAUUCCUGGAUUGCACAGAAAAGAGAAGGAAAUAGAUGAAAAAAAACCUAACGCUGAAAGUAUUUGAUGAAUGAGAUAAAGAUUAAGCUAUUGUUUAAAUGAAAAUUAAUCAUCUCACUUUGAAAACUACAACCAAUUAAGUUGAUAUAUAUAUAUAUCGAACUACUACCCGAUAUGUGUUAUAUACCUCCUAUUAAUAAAAGAAUCUUUAUAUAUCCGGUAUUGGUAUCUGGGUUUAAGACCCCGAGAUGAACCAUUCCAAGCCCACUUUAAGUUUUUUAAGUUUUUAUUUUUUUUUAUUUUUAAGUCACAAUAUAUGCCUAUCAUUUAAUACUUGUAUUUUGUAAUUAAUUUGUAUAUACUUUCUUAUUCGAGAGAAACAUGGAAUAAAAUAUAUCCAAUAAUUUUGUAUUACUUGUCAAAUAAACCGUUAUGUUCUACAUAUUUUAUAAAUUAAAUCAAUCAUUUAAUAAAUAAUUAUAAUCAUACUUAUAUUACCGUACGUGGGGUACUACUACACAAUCGUAAAGGUGGAAACUUUUUAGGUGGAACUUUUAAGAUGUAUUUGAUUGCCAGUGAUAACCAGUAGUGAUCGAAGUGCCCUCCUUUAUCUAAUGCAUAGUGUAACCGUAAGUACGUCCGUUUUUAUUCUAUUAUAAGGAUUCAAAUAUAUAUAUAUAUAUAUAUAUAUAUCUCAACUCGAUACUAUGAAAAUGUUCAUAGUGGUAGUACCACGAUAAUCCAAAAUUCGGUAACCUAGAUGAAAAACUAAUAAUUAUCGGGAACCUAAUUUGUAAUAAGGUGGAUGGUGGUGGAUGGUGGUAGUAGAGUUGGAGUGUAGAGAGGUAGGUUUCCGAUUUUUGUGUGUUCAUAGUGGGGGUACUACGAAAAUGUUCAUAAGAUCGGGAUGAGAUAUAUAUAUAUAUAUAUAUAUNUGCGUUCUUAUAGCACGGAAGCGUCCGUACGGACUUUUUUUUUUAAGGAAAAACUUCAAAUACUCCCUGUAGUUUCGUACGUUUUCACUUUAGUAUCCUGUGAUUUAAAAUAGAGUUGAGCUAGAAUACUAUCGGUAGUAAACGAACCGUUUUACUACCGAUUUGUUUUCGAUGAUAGAGCUUCCAAAUUGACGAUCGGCUCUGCUAAAUAUUAUCUAAAUCAUUUAAACUACCUAGAAAUCAAAUUUCACGCACUUUUGAUAUUAUUCUUUUAUCCAUCAAGUGAAUAGAAAAAUGAAUGAUUGAAAAUAAAUACUCUUAAAAAAAUGAUGAUAGGAGUCUUGUAAUCAAGAUCAAGAGUAUAAAUUUUGUUUUAAAUAGUUUAAAGAAUUUUCUAAUAAAAAUUCAAUUGAUUUGUAUAUUUUUACGCCUUAAACGAGAAAACGCCUCUUAUCGACCAUUAAAAUUACAAAUUUUAAAACACUUUGAUCAUUAGGCAAAUGAUGUCGAAAAGAUUUGAAAUUUAAUUUCUAAACACUUCAAGUGGUAUAGAUCAUGUUCAACGGAGUCGAUCGUCAAUUUGGAAACUCUAUCAUCGAAAAUAAAUCGGUAGUAAAAUGGCUUAUUUACUACCGAUAGUAUUCUAGCUCAACUCUCUCUCUCUCUCUUUUUAUAUAUAUAUAUAUANGAGUGUAAUAAAUAUCUAAUUUUUGUGACAAUUAUCAAAACAAAAGUUAGUAAGAUCUCAGUACCAAUAAAAAACUAAACAGAUUUCAUAGCGCAACUCCUGUUGAAGAGGACACAUUAAUAAGUGUUGCUAUUAGGAUUAUUAUUAUUAUUAUUAUUAUUUACAUGGAUACAUAAACUAGAUGCUCUUAAUUUUCCAUGUUGCAUUAAACAAAGCCAAUCCAACAUUGUUGUCACCGACAACAACACGGGAGAGAGAGCCAAGGACAAUGUGGGUACAAUGUGAGGACUACUACUACGACCCCUUGAAUCCUUGAUGAGCCUUUUCCAAAGCCACUGCAAAACCACUAUAAAAGUGAAAAAAAUGUACUCGGGAGGAUAAAGUUUUUGGCAAAUAUUAAUGCGUUGAGUUUGCAUGUUUUCAAAAGUACCUUUGUGCCUUUUAGUUAAAUAAAUUUUAUAAAUUUUAUUAUUAUUUAUUUAGUGAUCGAAAAAAUUUAAAAUGAACAGCUAAAAAUAAAAAUAUUAUAAAAAAUAAUGAUACAAUAUUAAAAUUAUAGAUAAAAAUAUUAAUCUUAUUUUAAAUAGUAUAAUUUUUUUUACCAAAUUUUUUUUUAUAUUUUUACAUCAUUAAACUUGCAACGACUCACAUUGAUCUUAAAAUUAAUAAUUUAUUCUUUGUACACUUCAAAUACUCCAAAUCAAUUCACAACGAUUCGAAUUUUUCAUUGUCGAUAAUAAUUUAGAAGCACGGAGACCUGCUUCUAAACAUAGUCCUGCAAAAAAACCCACAAACCCACCACCAAGCUUUCGUUGCAGUUCUUGGUUAUGCUGAAUAUAAUGAAAAAAAUUCUUUUUAUGUAAUAGUUAUAGCAAGAAUAGGAUACAUCUCGAAUCGAUUAUAUUGUGCGCAGAAUCAUAAAAAAAGAGUUUAGUUAAAGAUAACAAUAACUUCACACCAAAAUGAUGUCUUAGUAAGAAUUUGUUUAGACAUAUAUUCAGAUGUUGUUGCUGCUAAGUGGACUUACUGUGUGUGCCAAAGAAGAUUUCCUCAAAUGUGAAGCCGAGUUUGAAUUGAUUUUUAUGCAGAAUAUGCUUCAAGUUUUUCACAGAUUUGUUUUUAUACACUAUCCAAGUUUCCUGGGUUCUAUGCCACAAUGUAAUUGCUUAGAUUUGUCACGUGACAUGAUUCACCUAAUUUCUGUCGUAUAAAUGAGGAUGCUAAGAUUAUUUCUGAACGGUCUCUUAUCCGGUAGAUCAGUUAGACAUGGCUCUUAUUUGAAGAGUUUUAAAAUUUUUGAAAGUUCAGAUGCCAUUAUUAAAAAUACAAUAAAAUUAAAUAUUUUCGAAUGUUAAUAUAUCUUUUGUAAAAUAUGACAUUUUUUGGAUUAGGUUUUCACAGUAUAUAAUCAUUAAUUUAUGAAGCUUUAGAGAUGCAAAGAUGUUAUAUUUUUUUGUAUGUAAAAACAUGUAGACUUAUGUAAACUAUGAACUAUUUUGAAUUGACUAUCUAAUCUUUUAAAAAUUUUAUUUUACUAUUCAAUAUUUCAAUUUAUUUGAUUUGGGUCAGCACCAUUACUUCGACUCCGAAAUUUAAAUUAAUGAUUUACUUUAAUAAAUUUAUAGUAUUAAUAAUUGUAUGAAAUAUACUAACUAAAUCUAUAAAAAUAAAUGAUGUAUUCAAAUUUUGAAGUCAAAUACCGUCGACUGACUCAAAUAAAACAAAUCGAAAAAAAUGAAUAGUAAAAUCAAAUUUUAAAAAAUUGGACAGUAAAUUUAAAAUAUUUCAUAGUUCAGAUAAUUUCGGUAUAUUUGUACUUUUUUUUAUUUUAAAUGGUGAGUUGAUAAUUGUACAAGUCUAGUAGAAAGUAAUAAUGGUAUUCUCAUUUGCACCAAGUAAGAAAAUGACAAAACCCCACGAUUCGAAAUCCAAGAAUAAUAAAAAAUUAUAUUGUACAGAAAGAUUAUGAUGAUAUUUUUUGAAAGGGUAAACUUCAAAUACCAUUCCCGUGGUUUCGUAUUUUCUCACUUUAAUAUCUUGCAGUUUAAAAUGUAUCAAUUUAGUACUUUGUGCUUUUUUUUUUUUUUUCCUUUUCGUCAGCUCCUCCGUUAAUAUUUUGUUAAAUUUUAUACAAAAAAAAUUUUAGAUACCCUACCUAGAUUUAUCGAAUAUUCACUUUAGUACAUUUUAGUCUUAACUUUGUCACUGAUUUAACGAAAAAAAAAUUAAUGGAGGAGAUAAUAAAAAGAAAAAAAUAAAACCAUGGGGUACUAAAUAGAUACACUUUAAAUUAUAGGAUAUAAAAUAAAAAAAAAUAUGAAACUAUAGGGGUGAUAUUUAAAGUUUUUUCUUUUUGAAAUGUUAGAGACCUAUGAAAUAAAAGAUCAACUAAAAUAUUACAAUGGGCUCUUUCGCAGGAGAGGUGACUCCUCAAAAUGGCCAAUUCACACAAUUUGGCCCAUAGUCCCAAAAAUUAAAGACCCUUCUCUUUUCUAUGUUUCAAAAAAAAAUUAUAGUCUAAUUUAAAAGAUAAUUUUAAUUUUAAAUUUUAAAUUUAAAUUUGCUUGUCCCAAAUACCCAAACGCUAGCAAACCAAAAAAUGGAAAAAGAGGAGAAAAAAAGAGAGCAGCUUUUCGAACUCCAACGGUCGGCUCAUCUCCACCGUUCAUUGAGUGAUCAGAGGAUUUUGUAACGGCUAUUUUUUAUGGCUUUUGAAGUGCGGAUUCGACCGUUGAGCUUUUUAUUAUAUUAUAUUAUAUUAUAUUUCCGUGGGAAUUUAAUUCAAAUGCAGGGAAAGAGACACCAUGAAAAUCAUGUAGCCAAAUGUAAGAAAGAAGCUCACUCUCUUUACUGGGAAAGUGAUUUUAUUUAAGCCCAAGAGAAACAGAGAAUAGAUAUGUUUUCAAAGCCAAAUUUAAUAUUGCUGAAGUAUAUAUGUAUGUUAUAUCAGGUCAUUAUUUUGAUUUUUCGUUUUGCUCUGUCGAUAUCAAAUUUUUUUCUGAAAAUAUUAAUUUCUAAAAAAAAAGAUAUUUAUGUAUGUGGCUAAAUUAAGUUACUAUGGACAAUUUAGAUUAGCAGAAUUUGAUCAAAUUCAAUUAGCAAAAAGCAAACGAAUUAGAAAAAUUUACUUUUCAAGAGAGGGAAAAUUUUCUUGGUUAGAAUAUGGAGAGUAAUAAUUCACCUACAAUUUGAAAAAGAAGAUCCUAAUUACACUUUAGAGAGCUUAAUUAAUUACCUAAUUUCCGCCCCCCUUUAGGCUUAGGGUCCGUUUCGUUCAACGAAAAAUCAUGUCGUGAAAAAAUAUUUUCGGUGAAAUUUUUCUUAUGCUUUAUCGUGUUUGUUUUGUAGAAAAAAAUAAAUUUUCAGCAUAAUUUAUUUAGUUGAAAGAAAAAAAUUCAUAUUUAUUUAGUUUGAUAGAAAAAAUAAAUAAAAAAUUUUUAAACAGAUUGAAUUUUAUAUAUAUAUAUAUAUAUAUAUUUUUUUUUAUACGGGUCCUAACAUGUUUGACCCCACAAGCCACUUUAAUUUCUAGAGACCUGGUCAACUCAACUACAAAAGUCUAACAAAUUUCAUUAUUACUGACAUGAUACAUAAUUAAUAAAAAAGGCCAAUUUAUCCUUUUUCUUUUAACUUUUGUGGUUCAAAUAAUUACAUUUAAUUAUCACAUAUCUUAGUGUGUUUUCAUUUUGCAAUCUCAUGGUUCACUUUGCCAUGAUGCGACUCUUAUUUAGAUUUGAUUUCAAGUUCUGAUUUCGGUUUAGAUGUAAUUUAGACACGAAAAAAAGCCACAACUGACCUCGAAUUCGUUAAUUUUUAUUUUAACAUUUGAGACUGUAGAUUACGAGGUACAUACCGGGGUCUGGGAUGGAGGUUAGCGGUGUCUGGAACCUACUGGCUGGAGACUAUUGCCAAGGAACAACAACGAGGGAUCAAAUCAGGAUUGCAAUUUGCGGGUAGACGAUUUGACAGAAAAUAAAUAAUAUAAUUUUUAUAAACCAAUCAUUUGACCUUUUUUUGAAAAUUUUUAGGAACUAAUCAUUUGUAAUUUUAAUUUAUAUAAAAUUUUAUUCAAAUUUUUUCUAAAACUUAAAUUAACUUUAUGGAUUCAAAUUAAAAUUUAAAUUAUAAUUUAAAGUUUGAAUUUGAAUAAAUCGAAAUUUAGUUUUAAUAUUUUGAAUUAUCCACUCAACUUCAAAAUUUAUUUAUUUUUUUAAAAAAAUAGAUAUAAAAUUUUGACAUUAUUUCAAAAUUUUGAUAUAUAUUUUUAAUAUUUAAUUUUUAAUUUGAAUUUAAAUUAAUAUAUUAUAAAAAUAAAGUUAGUAUAUUAAUUUGAUUAAGUUUUUUAUAUCUAUCUGAACCAAACAUCGACAAUGAGUAUGAUUUAUUCCAAUUUCGAUUCAGGUGAUGAAUCAAACAGAAUUAGGUAAUAAGUCAUUUCGAUUCCAAUUCCUGCUUAUUUCGAUUUCGAUUCUUAUUCCCAUUUCGAUUUGAAACCAAACACGCUCCUAAUUUAGAAUACCCAUAUCUAUACAUUAUUUCCCAUAAAUUUGCCACAUGAUAAUUUCUCUUUCACCCUUGCCUUCUCCCCCUUUUCACUCCUUGGUGCUUUGCCUUCCCACCUUCCAUCUUCGCACGAUGUUUCGUCUUCUCAGUCGUUUACUUUCUAAUUAAUUCAUUCAUAUAGUCUAUUGUCAUCUAAAUAAAUCACUUUUACGAAUAAAAAAAUAAAAUAAGAUUUUUUUUUUAUACUCUUUUUGUUUCAUAUUAUUUGUACUUAUUGAUGUCUCACUUGCAACUCAAAAAAUUUUAAAAUUAUUAUUUUAUUAAUUUUUGUUUUUUUUAUAGUAUUAGACCGUUGCAAUACAUGCGUAACUUCACUGUAUAUCAAGAAUUGGUAAAAGAAUUAAUGGUAUUAUAAAACUUCCGCGGUGUCCUUUAAAACACAAAAAUUUGUUGACUUAUUUUAUCAAUAUUUUUUUAAUAUUGAAAAAAAAAUAAAAAAAAAUUGGAUUAUAAAGGUAAAAUAUAUAUCCUAUAAUUGAGUGCAUAAAUAGUAUUAUUCUAAGAUUAAAAUACAGAAAAUCUUUCUAUAAAAAUCAUUUUUUUCACUUUUUUUUUCCUGAUUUUUAAAAACUUAUAGUUCGCUCUAUUAAAAUUUUAAAAAUAUUUUCAGCAGAAUAAUACUAUUUAUGCACUCAAUUAUAGGAUAUAUAUUUUACCUUUAUAAUCCAAUUUUUUUUUAUUUUUUUUUCAAUAUUAAAAAAAUAUUGAUAAAAUAAGUCAACAAAUUUUUGUGUUUUAAAGGACACCGCGGAAGUUUUAUAAUACCAUUAAUUCUUUUACCAAUUCUUGAUAUACAGUGAAGUUACGCAUGUAUUGCAACGGUCUAAUACUAUAAAAAAAACAAAAAUUAAUAAAAUAAUAAUUUUAAAAUUUUUUGAGUUGCAAGUGAGACAUCAAUAAGUACAAAUAAUAUGAAACAAAAAGAGUAUAAAAAAAAAAUCUUAUUUUAUUUUUUUAUUCGUAAAAGUGAUUUAUUUAGAUGACAAUAGACUAUAUGAAUGAAUUAAUUAGAAAGUAAACGACUGAGAAGACGAAACAUCGUGCGAAGAUGGAAGGUGGGAAGGCAAAGCACCAAGGAGUGAAAAGGGGGAGAAGGCAAGGGUGAAAGAGAAAUUAUCAUGUGGCAAAUUUAUGGGAAAUAAUGUAUAGAUAUGGGUAUUCUAAAUUAGGAGCGUGUUUGGUUUCAAAUCGAAAUGGGAAUAAGAAUCGAAAUCGAAAUAAGCAGGAAUUGGAAUCGAAAUGACUUAUUACCUAAUUCUGUUUGAUUCAUCACCUGAAUCGAAAUUGGAAUAAAUCAUACUCAUUGUCGAUNUUUAGUUAUUUUAAAUUAAAUUUUAAUUAUAAAAAUAUACUAAUAUUAUUUUUAUUUAUUAAAAUAUUUAUUAUUUAUAUAUAAAUUAUACUUUUACAUUAUAUACUUCCUACCAAAUAAAUAGUAGAACUAAUGGAACUUCACUUUCAUAGUUACGAAACAAACAGCAGGGAAGAAGUAGUUUUUACUAAAGUCCACUUCAACCCAAAGUCCACUUCAACCCAAAGUCUAAUUUCGGUGAAACAAACAUACCCUUAGCAUAAAUAUGCAUCCAUCAAUGCAAAAUAUUUGGAAACAAAAAAAAAAAAUUACAAAUGAAUAAUACAUAAAAAAAUGCAAUGCAUGUGGCGAUAAUCACGGGCAUAUGAACGUGCCCCCCACUUCCAUAAUCGUGUCACCGACCAAAAUUGUCUACAUUGUUCCAUUCAAUUCUUUGUUUAAUAAAAUGUAAAACAACGGUUGUAAUUUUUAUAAGUCUUGUUGCUUGAAUUUGAAUUAAAUAAAAAAAUUAAUUAAAAGCUAUACGAAAAAAUUAAAAAUGCUAAGCUCCCGGCGUGAUUCAAACUCAAGAUCUCAUACUCUGAUAUUAUAUAAAACUAGUGUAGAUACCCGCGCGUUGCAGCGGGUAGAUACUAUUGAAGUAAAAAUUUAUAAAUAAUAAAAUAUCAACUAUUAGUAGGUUAACAAUAAGUAUCAAGAAUUAUAAACUUCUGGUAUAUUGACGUCGAAACAUUUGUGACCAAAUAAAGACUACAAUAUAGACAAUCAUUUUUAAUCAACCCAAUAGGAAAAAUCUUUCAAAUUCAAGAUCUCAUACUCUGAUAUCAUAUGAAAUAAUCAUUAUAAUUUAAAAACUUUAAGCUGAUAAUUAGUAUUUUAGUUCUCAAAGUUUAAUUUAAUAUAAUUUUUGACUCAUGGUUUUUAAAUCAGAGCAAUUUAGUUUGACAAUUUAAUUUAGCUAACUAAAUAUUAGUAUAAUAUUUAUGUCACGUGAUAUAACAACGUAAUUAUUGUUGCAAUAUUUGUAACAAUACUUUUACAUCACUUAUAUAUUAAUAAUUUAUUAAUAUUGAACGAACUAUGUACUUGUUUUGGACAUGUAGUGCAGAAAGUUGAGCUAAAAAUUAAAUGAAUUGAAAUUUAAGAAUCAAAGUGUCGUGCGAUUCAUAGAUUGAGGAUCAAAAGUGUAAUUUAUUUUUAAAACAAUGUAAUGCCUCUUAUAUAUUUUAAAAAAUAUUGAAUAAUCAUAUUAAAUAUUAUACAAGGUAUAUAGAGACAACUCCUCAUUUAGAAGUUUCUUAAAAGGAAAUGAUAAUUUAUUUGUAUAAAUUAUCGAAAGGAAAUGUGUGAUUUUAUGUCGUUUAUUUUGGUAAUGGUUCUCAAAAUGAUGUUCGAUUAACAAAUCGGGUGUUUAUUUUUGUAUGUGAUAUAAUUUUACUUAAAAUAAAUCAAAAGGACGAAAUGGAAUAAUUCUAUUAUUUAUAAUUUAUAUUUGAAAUGAAUCAUCAAGCUAAAAAAAAAACUCCCUUGCUGUUGACCAUGAAAUUAAGCCCAUUCACACACUAUAAUUUGCCAAAAAGAAAAAAGCGAAAUAAAAAAUAUGCAGCUAAUCGACUUUAAAAUUUUAAAAUAAUGUGUAAUCAAUCGUGUCGAAUAAUCAAUAAAAUAAAAAAAAAAACACAAACCCGAAACCAAAUUAAAUGUCUACCAAAAAGAAAAAAUCAAAUAUUAAUAUGUAAAACAUUGACAUGUUACUAAACAAAAUGCAUUAUUAUAUUACGAUCUAAUGGCUCAAGAGUGUGUGCGAAUCUUGGUGUAGAGCCUUUAAAUCAAGAGGGCGUAUAUGCAUAUAUAUAUAGAUUUGCAUAGUUUUUAAUAAUUUUAUUUUAAUUUCAAUUUAGAGUGACAAAAAUUAUAGUUAAGCCCAUAAGCAGAUGAAAUACUCGAAUCGAUGAUAUAUAUAGUUGAAACUGAUCCAGAACAUUCGACACAUCUAAAAUAAAAUUUUAAUAUUUUUUAAUUUGUUUUUUAUAUGGGAAAUGAAUUUUCUCCAAAUGCGCGUUGUGCAUAUAUUCAGGGACGAAACCAGAAAUUAAGAUUUGGGGGGGCCAAAAUUUAAAUUUGAUAGGAAAAAAAUUCGAUCUCGGAUAAUAAGAAAAAAAAAUUGUCAGAUUCACUGAUAACGACAAUAUGCUAAGAAAAAAACAAAACUAUAAGAGUUGAAGGAAAAUGACUAAGAAAUUCGAAAAAAAAAAAAUCAAGACACAAAUUUUGUUAAAAAAUUAAUUUGACCCCCUAAAAUUAAAAUUUAUUAUAUUUUAAUUUUUAUUAUAAAGAACUUUUAUAUUAUUUUAAAAAAUUUAGGGGGUCCAUGGCCACUGUGGCCCCUCAAUAGCUCCGUCCCUGCAUAUAUUUGUAUGUUAGUUAAUUUUCUUGCUCAUUAGCAUUGAAAUGAAUUCACACUGCUAUACAAAAAAAAAAAAAACUCCAAUUUUUUUUUUUUUUUUUUUUUAAAAACAGUAAGUCUAACAUACAGCCAAUCACCACCCAGUCCAACUCUUUCUUGGAACAAUCCAAACAUCUCCAAGGAGGCCCCUUUCACUUCCCCAAUUCCCACCCGCCCCAUAAACAUCAUUUUGCCCUAACAUGUCAUGCCACUGCACAAACUCUUGCAUGAACCAGGUCCACCACAUACUUCAUGGACUGUUUGAUAACCUACCAUUUAUCUACUCCCCCUCCACCACCCUAAAAGUAAAAUGUCCGGCAACCAUCUUGAGGUAUGCGAUUCUACAUGUGUGUACAUUAAUUUGGAGUUCGAGCUUCAAACAAAUAAUUUUUAUAAAUAAGAAAUUAUAAAUAUUUUUGAAUUUUAAAAUUAAAUGUAAAACAUCUUAGUAGAUAUUUUCUAAAACAACAAAUACAAAAGUUCACACAAUGUAUAUUUAAAUAUAGGAACAAUUAUUUAUAUACUCCUGAAAAAGUACCUGACUUUUCGAUUUACCCCUCUUAGAAGGCUAAUAUUGAAAAUAUCCUCUUUAUGUUCCAACCUAUUUCUAAUAUACUCCUGGAGUUAAAAUCUGUUAAUGAACUCUGUUAACAAUAUAAAAUUACUAUUUUGCCUUUUCAAAUAUACCCUUUCACCGUAACUGACUUUUGUAUUUGCCCUUAAAGUCAGGGGCACAAAAAGUAUUUUGACUUUUCGUCUUUUCAAAUAUGCCUCUUUAUCUUUAUCAACAUUUUUUAUUUGCCCUUUAAGUUAAGAAUAAAAUUGGCAUUUUAAUUUUUUUUUAACUGUGAUAGAUAUUUAACUCACGUUUAACCCAAGUUAACUUAAUAGGAGAUAACUGCGGAGGUAUUUUAUAAUAACGGUGGAACAUAUAAGGAAUAUUUUAGAAAAAAAAAAGAAUAAAUCGAAUAUUUUAAACAUAUGAGAGGUAUAUAGAGUCAAUUAUUCCUUAAUAAAUAUAUAUAUACACACACAUAUGUAUUAUAAGCUAAUGUGGUAGACUAAGUCCAGAGAUCAAAAUCUGUGUCCCUCCUGCCCAGCCGGCGUUUCAUUUCUUUCCCAAUAAACAAAUCAAAUAAUAAAAAACUCACUCCAGGGAGAAGAAAGCAGCAGCAGGACGAAACCAAGCAAAAAAAAGAAACAUCCAAACCCAUUCAAUUCAACCCCCGUUCUCACAGCUGUUCUCCUCUUUCUACCCUGCUUCCCCAUCUUCCUCCUACGCGUUUUCUUCUUCUUCUCCUUCUUCUUCUUCUUCUUCUCUCCUUACCCUCCACCCACAUUAUCCCCCAAGACACAGACAUUAGAGUAGAACUAUAUAGAGAAAUUAAUAGAUAGAGAAGAAGCAAUCGAAAGAGAAGAGAUAAUAAGAGAUACGAUGAUGGGUUCGCACCUACUGUUAGGACUCCUGGUGCUCGUGCUCGUCGUGGUCUGUGCGCAGCGAUCUGAUUCGUCUCCGACCCGGCGUCGCAGCCCUACUCCUUCCACGCGACGGCCACCGUCCUCAACUCCGGCACCACCCCGCUCAAGUCCUGGUCCCUCCUCGUCGCCUUCCGCCACGGCGAGAUCCUCGUCUCCGCCUCCGGCGCCGUCCUCACCGACGCCUCCGACUUCCCCUACAACACCUCUGGCGACGCCACGACCUCCUUCUCCGGCUACCCGAACCCCGACCUCCUCACCCCGAUCGCCACCGCCGGCGACCUCUCCCUCAUCCAGGCCCAGAUCGACCUCGUCGGCACCCUCUUCGCCCCCGCUCCCCCCUACGCCCCGCUCCCCGCCUCCCUCUCCCUCGCCGACCCCUCCUUCCUCUGUCCUCCCCCCUCCCCCGCCUCCAACGCCUCCACCCUCAUCUCCACCUGCUGCGUCCCCGACCCCUCCUUCUCCCCCAACGCCACCGACGCCGCCGCGCUCGCCAACUCCACCACGAGCUUCCUCCCCCGCCGCGCCGGCGACCUCACCAUCUCCUACGACGUCCUCCAGGCCUACCCCUCGUCCUACCUCGCGCUGGUGACCAUCGAGAACCACAACCCCCUCGCCCGCCUGGACAACUGGCGGCUCUCCUGGGAGUGGAAGCGCCAGGAGUUCAUCUACUCCCUGAAGGGCGCCUACCCGCUGGAGGUCGACGCCACCGGCUGCGUCUACGGCCCCCAGGGCCAGUACUACCAGGACCUCGACUUCUCCAAAGUGCUCAACUGCCAGCGGAGCCCCGUCGUCCUCGACCUCCCGCUGUCGCGCUACAACGACUCCCAGCUCGGCCUCAUCCCCCACUGCUGCCGCAACGGCACCAUCCUGCCCAAGUCCAUGGAUCCCUCGCAGUCCGUCUCCGCCUUCCAGAUGCAGGUCUUCAAGAUGCCACCGGACGUCAACCGCACCGUGCUCUACCCCCCGGCCGCCUGGAAGAUCGCCGGCGGCUCCGACCUCAACCCGGACUACGCCUGCGGCCCCGCCGUCCGCGUCGCCCCCGCCGAGUUCCCCGACCCCAGCGGCCUCGAGUCCAACACCUCCGCCAUCGCCUCCUGGCAGGUCGUCUGCAACAUCUCCGCGCCCAGAGGCUCCAAGCCCAAGUGCUGCGUCUCCUUCUCCGCCUUCUACAACGACUCCGUCGUCCCCUGCGGCACCUGCGCCUGCGGCUGCCCCGCCGCCCGCACCUGCAACGCCUCCGCCCCGCCGCUGCUCCUCCCCUCCGAGGCGCUCCUCGUCCCCUUCGACAACCGCACCGCCAAGGCGCUCGCCUGGGCCGAGCUCAAGCACUUCGCCGUGCCCAAUCCGCUCCCCUGCGGCGACAACUGCGGCGUCAGCAUCAACUGGCACCUCUACACCGACUACGCCAAGGGGUGGAGCGCGCGGAUCACCCUCUUCAACUGGGAGAGCGUCGACCUCCCCAAUUGGUUCGCCGCCGUCGUGAUGGACCAGGCCUACGACGGCUACGAGACGAUGUACUCGUUCAACGGCACCCGGGUCGGGGACCACACCAUCUUCAUGCAGGGGAACGAGGGCUUGAACUACCUCGUCGGCGAGACGAACGGAACCGACCCCUCCGAGGAUCCCAGAGUGCCCGGGAAGCAGCAGUCGGUGAUCUCCUUCACGAAGAAGCCGACCCCCGGGAUCAAUGUGGUCGCCGGGGACGGUUUCCCCUCCAAGGUUUACUUCAACGGCGACGAGUGUUCGAUGCCCGCUAGCAUUCCUACGAGCAAGGGCCUCCGGACUAUCGCCACCACCGGCAUCUUCAAUUUGGUAUACGUUCUCGGCGUUUCGGCUCUUUUGCUGUUCCGAGUAUAGAUCUGAGAUCAGCAGCUGCUGCUGCUGCUGCUAAAUUUUUUGAUUCUUUCGAUAUUUUUGUGCCGAUGGUUUGCGCCAAAUUGUGGGUUUGGUGUGCCAGUUUGUGAUGAGCACAAAAUUAAGCACUAAAACAUAUACUGGAUGAAGAGCUGAGAACUGAGUUUGAAUACCUGCUUAUUAGAUGUAAUUUUUGUUGAUUCACUCCUCUUAGACUCUGCAAUGUUUGAUAUGCUCCCUCCCAAGUUAAUGUCAUCUUUUAUACUCAUAGAUACAAUGUAAUAUACUAUAUAGUUCGCUUUGCCCCCUCAAACUCUCUGCGUUUGCUAUGUCUAGUUUGGUUAUCUUCUUAUUUACUGAACAAUUUUCCGAUUCAUCGUGAGUUUUUUCAAACAAAUUUGUGCGCUAUCUUUACAGCAAAUAUAUGAUUAGUACCAUUUUGUGCCUCACAUUUCUUGUAUUUCGAUUCAUCGGAUUCUCAUUGUUGUACAUAACUCUUCAAGAUUGAGUCUACUGUUGGCUUGUUAUUUACCUGGUUCUUAUCUUUAGAUUUCGUAAAUAAAAUACAUUAGCUUCAUCACAGAUGUUCGAUAUUCUGUAAUUGUUAUUGUCGAGACAUUGUGGAGUUGGAAAUUUGACCCUGCUGUUCUUCGAGAGAUAUCGGACUUGAGCAAUUGAAAAUUGGUAUCGAAUUGUUCAAAAUAUAUCACUUACUAACAGUUCGAACUCUUCCUUUAUUUUAGCUUUGGAUACAUUCUAAGAGUCACGCAUUCGGACGGCAAUUUCUACUCACACCACAAAGGCGUGUGUUUGUGUUUCUGUGUUUUUGAAGUAAACAUUCUAUUACUCUAUCAUUUUGAACUUCUAAUCCUUUCAUUAAACUCGAGUUUCUCGGUGAGACUGCAGUAAAUACAAACUAAAUCAUGAGAAGAGGAUGCUGUUUCAGUUCCAUCAAAUUUUCCCCAUCACAAGUUGUUGCUGCUACAAGAUGUGAUGUUUUCAUAGACCAAGUUAACAUUUACAUUAGCACUACUUAGAAAUGUAUGCAAAGAACAGGUCAAAAUUGACUCAUUGAAAAUAACAACCACCUCUUUGGAGGUAAUCAAACAUGCAUUAGGAAGAACAAGUCAAUUGAACUAUCUUGUACUUUUUUUGUUUCAUCUCAAGUUAUUUAUUUGUGAGGCAAGUUGACUCUGAGGAUUUGAAAUUUCGAUCUUUUGAAGUGAAGGUUUCUUUUGCUCCUUUGAUAAAAAAAAAAUCUCUUUUGCUGAUUAAGGGAAAGUUACACUUUAGGUCCUCAAACCAUGAGGCAUGUGAUAUUCUAAUUUCUAACUCGAACUUUCCGAAUUGUUAUAUCAAGUCUCACGAUCUAAUUUAGUUGGUUAAAUAUUAAUGAACUACUGAUGUAAAAGUGAUACAAUAGUAUUGUAAUUGAUGAUAUCAUAAUAUUAUAUUACUUCCUACAUCAAUGAGUCAUCAAUAAUAUUCAGCCAAAUAUAUUGAAUAGUGAGACUUAAUUAUAACAAUUCAUAAAAUUCGAGUCAGAAAUUACCACGAAUUAAAAUUUGAGGACCAAAGUGUCACACAACUCAUAGUUUGAGGACCAAAAUUGUAGUUUACCCUUACAUUAAUGAACUUCAAGAAAAUACAAAAUGGGACAUUUAGGUUCUCCAAAUCUGCAAGAAGACAUUUAAAAAAAAAAAAAAAAAAACUUAUUUGCAGAUUCCAACUUAGCUUAUUUCCCCUUUUGCUUUUCUGGGACACAGGAACUAAACAUACAAAUUUAGAAUGGAUCUCAUAGUAUGAUAGCUAAAGAUUUUUUUUUUUUUUUUUUUUGUUGUAAAAAAAUCCUACACACACCAACUUCCCUACCCCUCUGGAAUUGAAAAGCCCAUGUGCAAAAGUGCUUCCCACGAUAGAGAAAAGUCAAAUUAUUUUUAUCAUGGUGUGUUUGCCAUUUCAAGUUUUCUAAGAAUAAAAGCUUAUUUGCUAUAAAACUUGAGGCUAUUUUGUUUAAUGCAGAGAUUCUUAUAAAAUUGUUGUUUGAAUCUCAGUAGUUUCUUUUUUUAAUGGAAGUCACUUGGACAGCUUUUCACUACAGUAGAAAUAGAAGCUUUAUACUAAAAAUUUAAAUUUUAAAGCCAACAUUUUAGUUACCGAACCAUGUAACCGCAAAUAAACAGUCAUAGUUAGUUACAAGAGCAUCAUCAAUAAAAAAGGAAUGCAUAUGAAAUUCUCCCUAUAAAACAACAUGUUUUGUCAUGAGACACUUUGAAUUUGAAAAGAAAAAGAAGAAGUUUUCAUCUUUGACAAAACCCUCUUCAAAAAAGAUCAUCAAAAAGCUAUAAUUGCUCCAAAAAAUUUGUGAAUUUCCAAGGAAUAGAGCUUUUUAGACUUGGUAUCAAAUUUCUCUUAGUUUAGAUAAUCAUCAUCUCAACAAACAAGGAAUAUAUGCAGCAGCAAUUACGAAACCGGAGUCCAAGCCAAAUUUUUCUAAAAAAAAAUAGAUAAAAUCCGCCAUUUAUCCACAAAAAUGGGACCAACUUUUUACAUUGAGUUUUAUCACUGCUACUAAAAGAAGCAACAACAUCAGAUUCAAGCAAUACUCUGUCUAAAGACUCCGACCGCUGAACCUGUUACAGCUAUAAAAUUCAGUGAUUUCACUAAACGCGAUUAGUUACAUCUAUUUUGGUUGUGGAAGCUAAAAUAUUUAUCACAAAUAUAUCGGCGAAGCGUCUUGAUGCUGCCUGGACAUUUCAAUUAGAUGCUGUGAAAUUUCAGCAAAAUCGUCAGAAAGAAUGCUUAGGGUCUGCUUCUCCUUCCUCCUGCUGUAGGAAAAAUAAAGAUUCAUACAAGUAAUCAAUAGAUUAGAAUUGAAUAAUAUUUACAUAAAUAUAAAUUUCUUUAUAAGAAAAACAAUCAAUUAUGCAACUUGUUGUACAAAUCGAUCUUUACUAUGACAGUGAGUGUUAAAAAA
RNAcentral lists this long non-coding RNA (36356 nucleotides) under Ananas comosus (pineapple). RNAcentral describes it as "long non-coding RNA (ACOM_LNC027276)". Lineage: Eukaryota; Viridiplantae; Streptophyta; Magnoliopsida; Poales; Bromeliaceae. The record is from RNAcentral.